UACGGAGGAUCCAAGCGUUAUCCGGAUUUACUGGGCGUAAAGAGUUGCGUAGGUGGUAGUUUAAGCGAAUAGUGAAAUCUUGUGGCUCAACCAUAAGGCUAUUAUUCGAACUGAAUUACUCGAGAACGAGAGAGGUCACUGGAAUUCCUUGUGUAGGAGUGAAAUCCGUAGAUAUAAGGAGGAACACCAAUGGCGUAGGCAGGUGACUGGCUCGUUUCUGACACUAAGGCACGAAAGCGUGGGUAGCGAACGGG
RNAcentral lists this ribosomal RNA (254 nucleotides) under uncultured prokaryote. RNAcentral describes it as "partial 16S ribosomal RNA". It matches the Rfam family "Bacterial small subunit ribosomal RNA", at positions 524 to 776 of the family's 1533-position model. The record is from RNAcentral.